Molecule: ribosomal RNA, 1395 nt
Filed under: uncultured bacterium
Lineage: Bacteria
Description: bacterial SSU rRNA
Rfam family: Bacterial small subunit ribosomal RNA
Source: RNAcentral
AGAGUUUGAUUCUGGCUCAGAUUGAACGCUGGCGGCAGGCCUAACACAUGCAAGUCGAGCGGUAGAGAGGAGCUUGCUCCUCUUGAGAGCGGCGGACGGGUGAGUAAUGCCUAGGAAUCUGCCUGGUAGUGGGGGAUAACGUUCGGAAACGGACGCUAAUACCGCAUACGUCCUACGGGAGAAAGCAGGGGACCUUCGGGCCUUGCGCUAUCAGAUGAGCCUAGGUCGGAUUAGCUAGUUGGUGAGGUAAUGGCUCGCCAAGGCGACGAUCCGUAACUGGUCUGAGAGGAUGAUCAGUCACACUGGAACUGAGACACGGUCCAGACUCCUACGGGAGGCAGCAGUGGGGAAUAUUGGACAAUGGGCGAAAGCCUGAUCCAGCCAUGCCGCGUGUGUGAAGAAGGUCUUCGGAUUGUAAAGCACUUUAAGUUGGGAGGAAGGGCAGUAAAUUAAUACUUUGCUGUUUUGACGUUACCGACAGAAUAAGCACCGGCUAACUCUGUGCCAGCAGCCGCGGUAAUACAGAGGGUGCAAGCGUUAAUCGGAAUUACUGGGCGUAAAGCGCGCGUAGGUGGUUUGUUAAGUUGGAUGUGAAAUCCCCGGGCUCAACCUGGGAACUGCAUUCAAAACUGACUGACUAGAGUAUGGUAGAGGGUGGUGGAAUUUCCUGUGUAGCGGUGAAAUGCGUAGAUAUAGGAAGGAACACCAGUGGCGAAGGCGACCACCUGGACUAAUACUGACACUGAGGUGCGAAAGCGUGGGGAACAAACAGGAUUAGAUACCCUGGUAGUCCACGCCGUAAACGAUGUCAACUAGCCGUUGGAAGCCUUGAGCUUUUAGUGGCGCAGCUAACGCAUUAAGUUGACCGCCUGGGGAGUACGGCCGCAAGGUUAAAACUCAAAUGAAUUGACGGGGGCCCGCACAAGCGGUGGAGCAUGUGGUUUAAUUCGAAGCAACGCGAAGAACCUUACCAGGCCUUGACAUCCAAUGAACUUUCUAGAGAUAGAUUGGUGCCUUCGGGAACAUUGAGACAGGUGCUGCAUGGCUGUCGUCAGCUCGUGUCGUGAGAUGUUGGGUUAGGUCCCGUAACGAGCGCAACCCUUGUCCUUAGUUACCAGCACGUCAUGGUGGGCACUCUAAGGAGACUGCCGGUGACAAACCGGAGGAAGGUGGGGAUGACGUCAAGUCAUCAUGGCCCUUACGGCCUGGGCUACACACGUGCUACAAUGGUCGGUACAGAGGGUUGCCAAGCCGCGAGGUGGAGCUAAUCCCACAAAACCGAUCGUAGUCCGGAUCGCAGUCUGCAACUCGACUGCGUGAAGUCGGAAUCGCUAGUAAUCGCGAAUCAGAAUGUCGCGGUGAAUACGUUCCCGGGCCUUGCACUCACCGCCCGUC